This 21-nucleotide non-coding RNA is filed under the name Caenorhabditis elegans. Lineage: Eukaryota; Metazoa; Nematoda; Chromadorea; Rhabditida; Rhabditidae. The record is from RNAcentral.
UGCAGACGGUGGAAAAAAUGA